Molecule: ribosomal RNA, 497 nt
Filed under: uncultured bacterium
Lineage: Bacteria
Description: partial 16S ribosomal RNA
Rfam family: Bacterial small subunit ribosomal RNA
Source: RNAcentral
GAUGAACGCUGGCGGCGUGCCUAAUACAUGCAAGUCGAGCGAACAGAUGAGGAGCUUGCUCCUCUGACGUUAGCGGCGGACGGGUGAGUAACACGUGGAUAACCUACCUAUAAGACUGGGAUAACUUCGGGAAACCGGAGCUAAUACCGGAUAAUAUAUUGAACCGCAUGGUUCAAUAGUGAAAGACGGUUUUGCUGUCACUUAUAGAUGGAUCCGCGCCGCAUUAGCUAGUUGGUAAGGUAACGGCUUACCAAGGCAACGAUGCGUAGACGACCUGAGAGGGUGAUCGGCCACACUGGAACUGAGACACGGUCCAGACGCCUGCGGGAGGCAGCAGUAGGGAAUCUUCCGCAAUGGGCGAAAGCCUGACGGAGCAACGCCGCGUGAGUGAUGAAGGUCUUCGGAUCGUAAAACUCUGUUAUUAGGGAAGAACAAAUGUGUAAGUAACUAUGCACGUCUUGACGGUACCUAAUCAGAAAGCCACGGCUAACUACGUG